RNAcentral lists this ribosomal RNA (392 nucleotides) under uncultured bacterium. RNAcentral's name for it is "bacterial SSU rRNA". It matches the Rfam family "Bacterial small subunit ribosomal RNA", at positions 28 to 420 of the family's 1533-position model. The record is from RNAcentral.
GACGAACGCUGGCGGCGUGCUUAACACAUGCAAGUCGAGCGGUAAGGCCCUUUCGGGGGUACACGAGCGGCGAACGGGUGAGUAACACGUGGGUGACCUGCCCUCAGCUCUGGGAUAAGCCCGGGAAACUGGGUCUAAUACCGGAUAUGACUUCAUGACGCAUGUUGUGGAGUGGAAAGCCUUGUGCGGCUGAGGAUGGGCCCGCGGCCUAUCAGCUUGUUGGUGGGGUGAUGGCCUACCAAGGCGACGACGGGUAGCCGGCCUGAGAGGGCGACCGGCCACACUGGGACUGAGAUACGGCCCAGACUCCUACGGGAGGCAGGCAGUGGGGAAUCUUGCGCAAUGGGCGAAAGCCUGACGCAGCGACGCCGCGUGAGGGAUGACGGCCUUCG